CUGAUUAGAAGCUUGCUUCUAUGACGUUAGCGGCGGACGGGUGAGUAACACGUGGGCAACCUGCCUGUAAGACUGGGAUAACUUCGGGAAACCGAAGCUAAUACCGGAUAGGAUCUUCUCCUUCAUGGGAGAUGAUUGAAAGAUGGUUUCGGCUAUCACUUACAGAUGGGCCCGCGGUGCAUUAGCUAGUUGGUGAGGUAACGGCUCACCAAGGCAACGAUGCAUAGCCGACCUGAGAGGGUGAUCGGCCACACUGGGACUGAGACACGGCCCAGACUCCUACGGGAGGCAGCAGUAGGGAAUCUUCCGCAAUGGACGAAAGUCUGACGGAGCAACGCCGCGUGAGUGAUGAAGGCUUUCGGGUCGUAAAACUCUGUUGUUAGGGAAGAACAAGUACGAGAGUAACUGCUCGUACCUUGACGGUACCUAACCAGAAAGCCACGGCUAACUACGUGCCAGCAGCCGCGGUAAUACGUAGGUGGCAAGCGUUAUCCGGAAUUAUUGGGCGUAAAGCGCGCGCAGGCGGUUUCUUAAGUCUGAUGUGAAAGCCCACGGCUCAACCGUGGAGGGUCAUUGGAAACUGGGGAACUUGAGUGCAGAAGAGAAAAGCGGAAUUCCACGUGUAGCGGUGAAAUGCGUAGAGAUGUGGAGGAACACCAGUGGCGAAGGCGGCUUUUUGGUCUGUAACUGACGCUGAGGCGCGAAAGCGUGGGGAGCAAACAGGAUUAGAUAC
This 733-nucleotide ribosomal RNA is filed under the name Priestia aryabhattai. RNAcentral describes it as "bacterial SSU rRNA". It matches the Rfam family "Bacterial small subunit ribosomal RNA", at positions 67 to 785 of the family's 1533-position model. The record is from RNAcentral. Lineage: Bacteria; Bacillati; Bacillota; Bacilli; Caryophanales; Bacillaceae.